CAGUGGGCCUGAAUAGGGAGCAGAGUGGGGGAAGCUGUGGGCUAAGUCGUCCUUCAAGAAUGCACAAGGGAGCUCUGUGGGAGAGGGCCAGCCCACAGGAACCCACUCCACCCCAGUGGCCAUCACAAUGGAAUUCAGGUCUGCGUCACAAUGCCACUGGCAGUGGGAGGCUGGUCUCUUUGUUUGGAGACCUAGUUACAGGAACUCUGCGUCAGAGGUCCCUGUUUCCUGGGGUAUGGGAAGGGGCCCAGCUGCUGAGCGGCCUCAAAAUGGAGAACUGUAGGAAGAGCAGGUGUGAGGUUGGGCAGUCCCACUCAGCCCCCGGACCUAGCGGCUGCAGGGCCCAGGUGACAGUCGGCAGGGAGCAGGGAUUCUCCGUCAACAGUGAGCAGCUGCUGGUCUUCUUCCUGGCUAUCUGGUUCUUCUAUUUCUUCUACCUCCAGGACUAAUUCUGACAGAGCCUCCUCUCCAGCAGCUCAGGGAGUGGCUGAGGGUCAGAGCCUUGGUCCUGUCAGGCCUCACUCACUCAUUAACCUAGGGAAUGAAGACCCAGAGCCUGGAGCUGC
RNAcentral lists this long non-coding RNA (566 nucleotides) under Rattus norvegicus (Norway rat). RNAcentral describes it as "long non-coding RNA NONRATT018606". The record is from RNAcentral. Lineage: Eukaryota; Metazoa; Chordata; Mammalia; Rodentia; Muridae.